AUUUGGCUGAAGUAUUGUAAGUAUAUCUUAGUUACAUUAAGAAGGUCUUUUAUUUAAAGCAGUCA
RNAcentral lists this transfer RNA (65 nucleotides) under Julia sp. J1. RNAcentral's name for it is "tRNA-Val". The record is from RNAcentral. Lineage: Eukaryota; Metazoa; Mollusca; Gastropoda; Juliidae.